CAGGCCUAACACAUGCAAGUCGAGGGGCAGCAUUUCUAGCUUGCUAGAAGAUGGCGACCGGCGCACGGGUGAGUAACGCGUAUGUAACCUACCUUAUACUGGGGGAUAGCCCAGAGAAAUCUGGAUUAAUACCGCAUAAUAUGUUUGAAUCGCAUGGUUUAAAUAUUAAAACUCCGGUGGUACAAGAUGGGCAUGCGUAGCAUUAGUUAGUUGGUGAGGUAACGGCUCACCAAGACAAUGAUGCUUAGGGGGUCUGAGAGGAUAGUCCCCCACACUGGUACUGAGACACGGACCAGACUCCUACGGGAGGCAGCAGUGAGGAAUAUUGGUCAAUGGACGCAAGUCUGAACCAGCCAUGUCGCGUGCAGGAUGACGGCCCUAUGGGUUGUAAACUGCUUUUUUACAGGAAUAAUUGUCGCUACGUGUAGUGAUUUGAAUGUACUGUAUGAAUAAGGAUCGGCUAACUCCGUGCCAGCAGCCGCGGUAAUACGGAGGAUUCGAGCGUUAUCCGGAUUUAUUGGGUUUAAAGGGUCCGUAGGCGGUCUUUUAAGUCAGUGGUGAAGUCCCAGAGCUCAACUCUGGAACUGCCAUUGAAACUGAAGGACUUGAAUAUGGUUGAGGUAGGCGGAAUACGUUAUGUAGCGGUGAAAUGCAUAGAUAUAACGUAGAACACCAAUUGCGAAGGCAGCUUACUAAGCCAUUAUUGACGCUGAUGGACGAAAGCGUGGGGAGCGAACAGGAUUAGAUACCCUGGUAGUCCACGCCGUAAACGAUGAUUACCCCUUGUGCACAAUACAUCGUGCGUGACUGAGCGAAAGCAUUAAGUAAUCCACCUGGGGAGUACGUUCGCAAGAAUGAAACUCAAAGGAAUUGACGGGGGCCCGCACAAGCGGAGGAACAUGUGGUUUAAUUCGAUGAUACGCGAGGAACCUUACCUGGACUUAAAUGUAGAUUGACCCUCUUAGAAAUAGGAGUUCUCUUCGGAGCAAUUUACAAGGUGCUGCAUGGUUGUCGUCAGCUCGUGCCGUGAGGUGUCGGGUUAAGUCCCAUAACGAGCGCAACCCCUAUCGUUAGUUGCUAGCAGGUAAUGCUGAGGACUCUAGCGAGACUGCCACCGUAAGGUGAGAGGAAGGUGGGGAUGACGUCAAAUCAGCACGGCCCUUACGUCCAGGACUACACACGUGUUACAAUGGCCAGUACAAAGGGCAGCUACCUGGUGACAGGAUGCUAAUCUCAAAAGCUGGUCUCAGUUCGGAUCGGAGUCUGCAACUCGACUCCGUGAAGUUGGAUUCGCUAGUAAUCGUAUAUCAGCAAUGAUACGGUGAAUACGUUCCCGGGCCUUGUACACACCGCCC
Molecule: ribosomal RNA, 1355 nt
Filed under: uncultured bacterium
Lineage: Bacteria
Description: bacterial SSU rRNA
Rfam family: Bacterial small subunit ribosomal RNA
Source: RNAcentral